RNAcentral lists this transfer RNA (86 nucleotides) under Loxodonta africana (African savanna elephant). Its description in RNAcentral is "Selenocysteine transfer RNA". It matches the Rfam family "Selenocysteine transfer RNA". Lineage: Eukaryota; Metazoa; Chordata; Mammalia; Proboscidea; Elephantidae. The record is from Rfam by way of RNAcentral.
ACCCAGAUGAUCCUCAGUGGUCUGGGGUGCAGGCCUCAAACCUGUAGCGGACUGGUGACAGAGUGGUUCAAUUCCACCUUUCAGGC